Trichomalopsis sarcophagae is the source of this 46-nucleotide regulatory RNA element. It matches the Rfam family "Histone 3' UTR stem-loop". Rfam says of the family: The mRNAs of metazoan histone genes lack a poly-A tail. 3' end processing occurs at a site between a highly conserved stem-loop (modelled by this family) and a purine rich region around 20 nts downstream (the histone downstream element, or HDE). The stem-loop is bound by a 31 kDa stem-loop binding protein (SLBP - also termed the histone hairpin binding protein, or HBP). The record is from Rfam. Lineage: Eukaryota; Metazoa; Arthropoda; Insecta; Hymenoptera; Pteromalidae.
CCAUCGGCCCUUUUCAGGGCCACAAAAACAUCCAUACGUAUCGCAU